AAGUUUUAUCCUGGCUUAUCCUUUCAAUCUUAGGUCGAUGGUACAUGCAAGAUUAAGACGUGUUAAAAAGUUUGUAAAAUUAAAUAUUUACAGACAAAUAAUAAAAAGGAGUUGAUAAUAAUUAAAGUCGCAGUAUUUGAUGCUAAUACAUCAAUAAAAGUUGGAAUUGGUGAUCCUAAUAUAUGUCCGGUUAAAAUUUGUGCCAGCAGCCGCGGUUAUACUGAGGGACAAAUUGAAAGAAAGUUGGUUAAAAAUGAUUAAGCGAAUCGUUUAAAUUAACUUACAAACUCGUGUUAAUAAAGGGUGAAAUCAAUUUUUUAGCGUGCAAAUGAGUAAGUUAACUUGAAAUUAGGUCGAAGUUAUUAAGAUAAAGGUAUGAACCAGGAUUAGAUACCCUGCUACACUUUAUUUAAAGUUAAAAUACCUGGGUAUUAAACAGUUAUUGGCUUGAAACUCAAAGGAUUUGGCGGUAGUUUAGUCUAUUUAGAGGAACCUGUUCUAUAAUCGAUAGUCCACGAAAAAUCUUACUUUAUCUUGUAAAAGUCCAGUUUGUAUACCGUCAUUAUUAGAUAACUUUUAUAAAAUGUUUAGUUAUUAAAAUAAAAUUCAUUUAAUAUAUUAGAUCAAGGUGCAGCUCAUGAUAAAGGAGAAAUGGGUUACAAUAAUAUAAGUGUUUAAUACGGAUUAAAGAGAGAAUCCUCUUUAUGAAGGUGGAUUUAAUAGUAAAGGGGUUUUAAUAAGAUUCUUUGAUUAUAGCUCUAAGCUAUGUACACAUCGCCCGUCGCUCUCGUUAAUUAAAGCGAGAUAAGUCGUAACAUAGUAGGUGUACUGGAAAGUGUACCUAGAAAUU
Molecule: non-coding RNA, 850 nt
Filed under: Metapenaeopsis dalei
Lineage: Eukaryota; Metazoa; Arthropoda; Malacostraca; Decapoda; Penaeidae
Description: small subunit ribosomal RNA
Rfam family: Microsporidia small subunit ribosomal RNA (bases 427-844)
Source: RNAcentral